UACGGGAGGCAGCAGUAGGGAAUAUUGGGCAAUGGACGCAAGUCUGACCCAGCCAUGCCGCGUGCAGGAUGAAGGCGUUAUGCGUUGUAAACUGCUUUUAUACAGGAAGAAACGACUCUUGCGAGAGGCAUUGACGGUACUGUAUGAAUAAGCACCGGCUAACUCCGUGCCAGCAGCCGCGGUAAUACGGAGGGUGCAAGCGUUGUCCGGAUUUAUUGGGUUUAAAGGGUGCGCAGGUGGUUUAUUAAGUCAGUGGUGAAAGACGGUCGCUCAACGAUUGCAGUGCCAUUGAAACUGGUAGACUUGAGUAAAGUAGAGGUGGGCGGAAUUGAUAGUGUAGCGGUGAAAUGCAUAGAUAUUAUCAAGAACUCCAAUUGCGUAGGCAGCUCACUUGGCUUUUACUGACACUCAUGCACGAAAGUGUGGGUAUCAAACCAGGAUUAGAUACCCUGGUAGUCCACACC
This 464-nucleotide ribosomal RNA is filed under the name uncultured Flectobacillus sp. Its description in RNAcentral is "bacterial SSU rRNA". It matches the Rfam family "Bacterial small subunit ribosomal RNA", at positions 340 to 801 of the family's 1533-position model. Lineage: Bacteria; Pseudomonadati; Bacteroidota; Cytophagia; Cytophagales; Flectobacillaceae. The record is from RNAcentral.